Non-coding RNA from Danio rerio (zebrafish), 71 nucleotides. The record is from Rfam. Lineage: Eukaryota; Metazoa; Chordata; Actinopteri; Cypriniformes; Danionidae.
GCAUUGGUGGUUCAGUGGUAGAAUUCUCGCCUCCCACGCGGGAGAACCGGGUCCGAUUCCCCGCCAAUGUA